RNAcentral lists this non-coding RNA (20 nucleotides) under Arabidopsis thaliana (thale cress). Lineage: Eukaryota; Viridiplantae; Streptophyta; Magnoliopsida; Brassicales; Brassicaceae. The record is from RNAcentral.
GGGGGUGUAGCUCAUAUGGU